UAGUGAACCAGUACCGCGAGGGAAAGGUGAAAAGAACCCCGGAAGGGGAGUGAAACAGAACAUGAAACCAUUAGCUUACAAGCAAUCGGAGCCCGAUUAAAACGGGUGACGGUGUGCCUGUUGAAGAAUGAGCCGGCGACUUAUAGGCACAGGUAGAUUAAGCCGAAAAUGGCGAAGUCAAAGCGAAAGCGAGUCUGAAUAGGGCGUUAAUCUGUGUUUAUAGACCCGAACCCUGGUGAUCUAACCAUGUCCAGGAUGAAGCUUGGGUAACACCACGUGGAGGUCCGAACCGACUGAUGUUGAAAAAUCAGCGGAUGAGGUGUGGUUAGGGGUGAAAUGCCAAUCGAACCAGGAGCUAGCUGGUUCUCCCCGAAAUGUGUUUAGGCGCAGCGGUAAUGAUUAUAGCGGGGGGGUAAAGCACUGAUUCGGUGAGGGCUGCGAAAGCGGUACCAAAUCGAUUCAAACUCUGAAUACCCCGUGCACACAUUGCCAGUAAGACGGUGGGGGAUAAGCUUCAUCGUCAAGAGGGAAACAGCCCAGACCACCAGCUAAGGUCCCAAAAUGACUGCUAAGUGAUAAAGGAGGUGGGAUUGCAGUGACAACCAGGAGGUUUGCCUAGAAGCAGCCACCCUUGAAAGAGUGCGUAAUAGCUCACUGGUCAAGCGAUCCUGCGCCGAAAAUGAACGGGGCUAAAUGAUGUACCGAAGCUGUGGGAUUUAUCUAUCGAUGAAUCGGUAGGGGAGCGUUCUGUUGUAGUGUGAAGUCGUAGCGGCAAGCAGCGAUGGACGAAGCAGAAGUGAGAAUGUCGGCUUGAGUAGCGAAAACAUUGGUGAGAAUCCAAUGCCCUGAAAUCCUAAGGGUUCCUCCGGAAGGCUCGUCCGCGGAGGGUUAGUCGGGUCCUAAGGCGAGGCAGAAGUGCGUAGUCGAUGGAUAACUGGUUAAUAUUCCAGUACUCGAUUUUGGAUUGUGCAGAGGGACGGAGCAGGCUAAUGAAGCCGCAUGUUGGUUAGCGGUUCAAGCGUCCGAGGCUUUGAGGAACGGUGAAAACGUUCUGAGCUGAGGCGUGAGUACUAUUUCCUACGGGAGAGAAGUUCAUGACGUCAUACUUUCUAGAAAAGCUCUAAACACGUUAAUCCAAAGUCACCCGUACCCUAAACCGACACAGGUGGGAUGGUUGAGAAUACUAAAGGGCGCGAGUUAACUCUCUCUAAGGAACUCGGCAAAAUGGCCCCGUAACUUCGGGAGAAGGGGUGCCCACGCAAGUGGGUCGCAGUGAAGAGUCCCAGGCGACUGUUUACCAAAAACACAGGUCUCCGCUAAGUCGUAAGACGAUGUAUGGGGGCUGACGCCUGCCCAGUGCCGGAAGGUUAAAGAAGUUGGUCAGGGAGCAAUCCUAAAGCUAGCGACUGAAGCCCCGGUGAACGGCGGCCGUAACUAUAACGGUCCUAAGGUAGCGAAAUUCCUUGUC
This 1468-nucleotide ribosomal RNA is filed under the name metagenomes. Its description in RNAcentral is "bacterial LSU rRNA". It matches the Rfam family "Bacterial large subunit ribosomal RNA", at positions 488 to 1973 of the family's 2925-position model. The record is from RNAcentral.